GCCAGAUUGUCCGAGCGGCAAAGGAAGCGGACUGUAAAUCCGCCGGCUUAUGCCUUCGUUGGUUCAAAUCCAACAUCUGGCA
RNAcentral lists this transfer RNA (82 nucleotides) under Corynebacterium urealyticum. RNAcentral describes it as "tRNA-Tyr". It matches the Rfam family "tRNA". From Rfam's summary of the family: Transfer RNA (tRNA) molecules are approximately 80 nucleotides in length. The record is from RNAcentral. Lineage: Bacteria; Bacillati; Actinomycetota; Actinomycetes; Mycobacteriales; Corynebacteriaceae.